This 1366-nucleotide long non-coding RNA is filed under the name Canis lupus familiaris (dog). RNAcentral describes it as "lncRNA (ENSCAFG00845003481.1)". The record is from RNAcentral. Lineage: Eukaryota; Metazoa; Chordata; Mammalia; Carnivora; Canidae.
CCAGCGGUGGGACUCUGCUGCCUUUCCAACUCUUACCUCCUGAAGCCACCACCACUGCUGCUCCUCAGCUGUACCAGCUGACUUAGAACUUUACAGACUGUUUCUCCAGUGCUUACAGCUUCUGGCCACCUAGAAUGGGAAGAGAGCUGAAGAUUACAUUCUAGAGCCUGCCCCCUUCGAAGAGCAGCAGCCUGGCUUCAGGUGGCUACAGCAGCAGCCUUUACAUCCAGUUUUUUCUCAUGAAGUCUCUUCUGGUUGAGAAGUUACCGAAUUUCAUCAGCCGCUCCAGUGAUUUCCAGAAAAUGAAGAGUCUGAACUUUUCUGGCUGUCUGGAACCUAUAGCUAGAAUUCAGAUAAACAGAAAUAGCUGUGGCCUGCUCAUCUUCUCUCCAUAUUCUGUCUUCUGUGGCUGACAUUACCCAGUUCUGCUUCCCCCCAUGCCCACUGCCCCCACCUUACCCAGUUGGAAAGUUGGAGCUUUGGAGUUGUUUAUAAUCAUAGUCAUGGACUAUUGGAUAUUUGAGCUGAAAGACAGAUGUGUGACUAUUUCCAGAAAUACAGCCUGAUUAUGAUGUUCUCCACAAUCUCUUACUGCUGCUUUUGACAUGAAGAUCAUCUCAUGAAUUGCAUAACAAUAAGCAUUGUUUUUAAACAACUUUAUGGAGAUGUAAUUGACAUAAAAUCUAUUUUAGAUGUAUAAUAUACUGAUGUUUUAAUAAAUUUAUAAUUAUUUAAUCAUCACCACAAUCCAAUUUGAGAACAUUUCCAACAUUCCCCCCAAAUAUUUUAUGCCUGUUUUCAGUGAAUCACUAUUUCUACCCCAUCCCCCAGGUGACCACCAAUAUGCUCUGUCUCUAUUGAUUUGCCUUUUCUAGACAUUUAAAUGGAAUCAUCCAAUGUCUUCUGAAUCUGGCUUCUUUCUCUCAGCAUACUAUGUUUGACUUUUAUCCUUGUUGCAGCAGAUAUCCUUGUUCCUUUUUAUUGCCGAAUACUAUUCCAUUGUUCAUGUGCCAACUGAUAGUUGAAUUAUUUCCAGUCCUUUGCUAUUAUAAAUAACGCUGCUAUGAAUAGUCACAUACAUGUUUUUUUGUGUGUGAAUAUAUGUUUUCAUUUCUUUUGGGCAGAUUCCCAAGAGCAAAAUUGCUGGCUAAGAUGGUAGGCUUUUCUUUAAAAACCACCCAAUUAUUUUUCAACCUGAAAGAUAUACCUGCCUGCCAGCAAUAUGAGAUUCCAGGUUCUCCACAUCCCUGUCAAUACUUACUAUAGUUCGUCUUUUUAAUUAUGCCCUUUCAGUAGGAUCACAAGCCUUCCAUGUUGGCCAGAGUCUUAUUAUAACUUAAAACAGGCCAUUUGAUAUCUAUACAAG